Non-coding RNA from Kogia breviceps (pygmy sperm whale), 2281 nucleotides. The record is from the annotation of a RefSeq genome assembly. Lineage: Eukaryota; Metazoa; Chordata; Mammalia; Artiodactyla; Physeteridae.
AUGGCACCUCCAGCUGCCUACCAGGCCAGGGAAGGUGAGGGUCCCCCACAGCUGCUCUGCCUGAGCCACGGGCCAGGUCCCUGGGGUUUGUGGCUGCGCCACCACUGCCUGAGGGCCGGAGGCCUGGAGCACAGGCAGGGUCCCGGCCCCAUUCGGGACCAGGCCUGGGAGCUGACAGAGCCCCUGGCGGGCAACCAGGACCGCUUCAGCGCUUGGAGCCAGGGCACCCUGGCCACCGUCUCCUCGGAAACGGGACCUCUGCUGGUGGAACAGUCUGGGCCGAGCGGGCUCCGCGGCCGGGGCCGCAAGGACCUGGGGGUGGGGCUUCGAUUGGGACCAGGAGGCUGCCAGGGGCUUGGGUUUUUGUACACCCCCCAACGGGACCCAUGGCAUUGUGACUUAUAUGGCCCCUGGGGCCAGGGAGUCCUGGUCACCGUCUCCUCAGGUGUAGAGGGCCUGGGGCAGCCUGGUGGGCUCGGAAAGAGGGCCAAGGGGGCCCAGGCUCACCCCAGCGAGGAACAGAGGUUCCAGACGCCAUCUCUGGCUGGGCCCUGCAGCCAGGGCUUCCCCUGGGUCUCUCAGUCACCCUCGGGCUCCGGGCUCCCAAGGUCCCCGGCCCGGCCGGCCACAUUGUCACAGUGUGAUGACUUUGACUACUGGGGCCAGGGGGUCCUGGUCACCGUCUCCUCAGCGAACCCGUCCCCUCCGACUCUCUUCCCCCUGGUCUCCUGCGUGAGCCCCCUGCCUGAUGCGAAGCUGGUGGCCCUGGGCUGCCUGGCCCGGGACUUCUUGCCCAACUCCGCCAGCUUCUCCUGGAGCUACAGUAACAGCAGCGGGGUCAGCAGCCAGAACGUCCAGAUCUUCCCGGCCGUCCUGAGGGAGGGCACGUACACGGCCUCCUCCCAGGUGCUCCUGCCGUCCUCAAGCAUCCCCCAGGACCCCGAAGAGCGCCUGCUGUGCAGAGUCAAGCACCCCAACGGCGACAAGUCCAUGUUAGUGCCUCUCCCAGUGCGGCUACCUGCUAAGUCUCCCAACGUGGCCGUCUUCAUUCCCCCCCGAGACGCCUUCUCCAGCUCUCCCCAGCGCAAGUCUAGCCUCAUCUGCCAGGCCACAGACUUCAGCCCCAAGCAGAUCUCCUUGUCCUGGUUUCGUGACGGCAAGCGGGUGGUGUCUGGCAUCAGUGAAGGCCCGGUGGAGACUGUACAGUCCUUGCCCGUGACCUUCAGGACCUACAGCAUGCUGACCAUCACGGAGAGCGAGUGGCUCAGCCAGACCGUGUUCACCUGCGAGGUGGAGCACAACAAGGAGAUCUUCCAGAAGAACGUGUCCUCUGCGUGCACCAAUCCAGUCCAGCCCUCGCACAUGAGGAUCUUCACCAUCGCCCCGUCCUUCGCUGGCAUCUUCCUCACCAAGUCAGCCAAGCUCACCUGCCUGGUCACAGACCUGACCACCUAUGACAGCCUGAGCAUCUCCUGGACCCGCCAGGAUGGCGAGGCCCUGGAGACCCUGACCAACAUCUCCGGGAGCCACGCCAAUGGCACCUUCAGCGCCGUGGGUGAGGCCUCCGUCUGUGUGGAGGACUGGGAGUCUGGAGGCUGGUUCACGUGCACGGUGACCCACACAGAUCUGCCCUCGCCACUGAAGCGCAGCAUCUCCAGGCCCAAAGAGGUCGUCAAGCACAUGCCGUCCGUGUACGUGCUGCCACCGACGCGGGAACAGCUGAGCAUGCGGGAGUCCGCCUCCAUCACCUGCCUGGUGAAGGGCUUCUCACCCGCGGACGUGUUCGUGCAGUGGCUGCAGAAGGGGCAGCCCAUGUCCUCCGACAAGUACGUGACCAGUGCCCCGGCGCCCGAGCCCCAGGCCCCCGGCUUCUACUUCGUGUACAGCAUCCUGACGGUGAGCGAGGAGGACUGGGACGGCGGAGAGACCUACACCUGCGUCGUGGGCCACGAGGCCCUGCCCCACAUGGUGACCGAGAGGACCGUGGACAAGUCCACCGAGGGCGAAGUGAGCGCCGAGGAAGAAGGCUUCGAGAACCUCAACACCAUGGCCUCCACCUUCAUCGUCCUCUUCCUCCUGGGCCUCUUCUACAGCACCACGGUCACCCUGUUCAAGGUGAAGUGACGGCCAGCCAAGGACGUGGGGGACCAGAGACGGAACAAGAGGGGAGCCGCCUGGGGCCAGGGGUUCUGCGUGGCUCGUCCACUUGUACUGAAAUUUUCCCCGUGUCUCUCUCCAGCUUUGAGCUCUAAGAAACCGGCUUCUCCUGACGUGGCCAAAU